RNAcentral lists this long non-coding RNA (1532 nucleotides) under Cucumis sativus (cucumber). Its description in RNAcentral is "long non-coding RNA (CSAT_LNC000274)". The record is from RNAcentral. Lineage: Eukaryota; Viridiplantae; Streptophyta; Magnoliopsida; Cucurbitales; Cucurbitaceae.
UCGCAACCCUAAAAAGACAAACUGAGAUUGAUUUUUCGUUCAAACCUUUUCACCUGGAUAAAGCCAUUAUCACACUUGCCCUCGAACAUGCAACCCUCAUUUCAAGCAACAGGUAUGUCAAUGGAUGGACCACAGUAGGAAAACACUACGUAAAAUUCAACAGGAAGGAUCCUGAUACUCGUGGCACUUAAAUACUGAUACCAAGUUAUGGAGGGUGGUUGCAUUUUAGAGGGAUUCCAUUGCAAUCUUGGAAUUACAGCACGUUUGUUCAAAUUGUGAAAGCGUGUGGUGACUUUUGGGCAGUUGCAAGGAAAACUUUGGAAAUGAAAAACCUGUUGGAAGCAAAGAUAAAGAUCAUAUAUAACUAUGCAGGGUUUGUUUCAGCCUCCAUUUUUAUCAAUCACAUUGAUGGGAAUUAUUUUGUGGUUCAACUGAACCAUGCAGUCCCGCCAGCAUUCUCUAAUACUAAAUCUGGUAGCAAGACAAUUAAGCCUGAUAAGAUGUCAGAUUCAGAUCGCACACAAGCCAAGAAGGAUAAUUCUUCAUAUUUUCUUGAUUCAGAAAAUAACUCCUAUCAUCCAAAUCUACUAGGAAAAUAAAACGAAAGAGAAGGGUAAAGCUUUAAUGGUAAUAAAUACAGAAGAUCACAACCAUUAUUUCCAAAACUUCAAGUGCCCAUCAAAGAGGAAAGUCUCAUUUUAUUCUCCAUAAAUCAAUCUAUCCCACAGCUUAUUAGAGUUUGCAGAAAAAGAGACAAUUACACAUUAAAAGUCCAACUGCAGAUUAUAAGGAAGGAUCCUCUGACACUGAAGGCCAACAAAAUAAAUUAAUUUUGAAGAAAUACUAUCAUAUUAAAAGGCAGUCGGCACAUAUUUCAAAUAAACAUGAGAUGCAUUCAUUACCCAGUUGAAGACUUAAAGGACAAAAGCUGCAAUUUGGUAGUGGACUUAGGGCCCUUGUCAUCAUUGGAAACCUAUUUAAUCCCUGAGUAAUUGAAUAGUAUGGAGCCAACAAACUUUUUUAAUGGAACAAGCUCAACAUGUGUUCCUGACACUCGAUCCAACAAAAGCCUCACUGGUUUGGAGGAAACUGCACUUAGAGGGAAACCAAUUAGCUCCAACAAUGAAGAGAAGAACAAAGAAUCUACGUUCAAAAAUGACAAAGAUGCUAAAGAAAAGUUUUUCAAGCAGAGAUUGGUCACUUGGCUAUAGGAAAAUGACCUAAAGCUUUCACCAAAACACAAUUUUACCCUAGUUCAUCUUAUGUACCUGUAACUGUUAAUGAAGGGAAUACGGGUAACACAGGCCAUGGGUCUUUGGGGGAUACUGGUGAUACAUGAAAGUCUUGUGCUGCAAUAUUAGACGGUUAGGUUCUCCCUCUAAAAGAGCCCAAAUAACAAGCUUCAUUUCCUCCUAUGCCCCUGACAUUGACAUUCUCAAAGAAACAAAACUUUCUUGCUUAAAAAUUUUCAACAUCAAAUCUCUUUGGAACUUUUCUCAUAUCAAAUGGUUAGCUCUAAAGUCUAUUGAAAG